RNAcentral lists this ribosomal RNA (465 nucleotides) under uncultured bacterium. RNAcentral describes it as "bacterial SSU rRNA". It matches the Rfam family "Bacterial small subunit ribosomal RNA", at positions 338 to 795 of the family's 1533-position model. The record is from RNAcentral.
CCUACGGGUGGCAGCAGUGGGGAAUUUUGGACAAUGGGGGCAACCCUGAUCCAGCAAUGCCGCGUGUGUGAAGAAGGCCUUCGGGUUGUAAAGCACUUUUGUCAGAGAAGAAAACUGUUGCGCUAAUAUCGCGACGGGAUGACGGUAUCUGAAGAAUAAGGACCGGCUAACUACGUGCCAGCAGCCGCGGUAAUACGUAGGGUCCAAGCGUUAAUCGGAAUUACUGGGCGUAAAGCGUGCGCAGGCGGUUAUGUAAGACAGGUGUGAAAUCCCCGGGCUUAACCUGGGAACUGCACUUGUGACUGCAUAGCUAGAGUGUGGCAGAGGGGGGUAGAAUUCCACGUGUAGCAGUGAAAUGCGUAGAGAUGUGGAGGAAUACCGAUGGCGAAGGCAGCCCCCUGGGCCAAUACUGACGCUCAUGCACGAAAGCGUGGGGAGCAAACAGGAUUAGAUACCCCUGUAGUC